UACGAAGGGGGCUAGCGUUGCUCGGAAUUACUGGGCGUAAAGGGUGCGUAGGCGGCUCUUUUAGUCAGGGGUGAAAUCCUGGAGCUCAACUCCAGAACUGCCUUUGAUACUGAGGAUCUUGAGUUCGGGAGAGGUGAGUGGAACUGCGAGUGUAGAGGUGAAAUUCGUAGAUAUUCGCAAGAACACCAGUGGCGAAGGCGGCUCACUGGCCCGAUACUGACGCUGAGGCGCGAAAGCGUGGGGAGCAAACAGG
This 253-nucleotide ribosomal RNA is filed under the name uncultured bacterium. Its description in RNAcentral is "partial 16S ribosomal RNA". It matches the Rfam family "Bacterial small subunit ribosomal RNA", at positions 524 to 776 of the family's 1533-position model. The record is from RNAcentral.